GGACUAUCAGGUUGUAGUCAGGGUAAUGACCUGACUAGCCUACGACGGAUACGGGUUGUGAGAGCAAUAACCCGGAGACGAUAUCUGAGACACGAUAUCGGGCCCUACGGGGCGCAGCAGGCGCGAAAACUUCACACUGUGCGAAAGCACGAUGAGGGAAUCCCAAGUGCCAGCUCGUAAGAGUUGGCUGUUUCUCUGUCUAAAACACAGAGAGAGUAAGAGCUGGGUAAGACGGGUGCCAGCCGCCGCGGUAAUACCUGCAGCUCAAGUGGUGGCCGCUAUUAUUGGGCCUAAAACGUUCGUAGCCGGUUUAGUAAAUGCCUGGGUAAAUCGUGUAGCUUAACUAUACGAAUUCCGGGUAGACUGCUAAACUUGAGACCGGGAGAGGCUAGAGGUACUCCUGGGGUAGAGGUGAAAUUCUGUAAUCCUAGGGAGACCACCAGUGGCGAAGGCGUCUAGCUAGAACGGGUCUGACGGUGAGGGACGAAGCCCUGGGGCGCAAACCGGAUUAGAUACCCGGGUAGUCCAGGGUGUAAACGCUGCUUGCUUGAUGUUAGUUGGGCUCCGAGCCCAAUUAGUGUCGGAGAGAAGUUGUUAAGCAAGCUGCCUGGGAAGUACGGUCGCAAGGCUGAAAC
Molecule: ribosomal RNA, 635 nt
Filed under: uncultured archaeon
Lineage: Archaea
Description: bacterial SSU rRNA
Rfam family: Archaeal small subunit ribosomal RNA
Source: RNAcentral